Molecule: ribosomal RNA, 500 nt
Filed under: uncultured bacterium
Lineage: Bacteria
Description: partial 16S ribosomal RNA
Rfam family: Bacterial small subunit ribosomal RNA
Source: RNAcentral
AUUGAACGCUGGCGGCAUGCCUUACACAUGCAAGUCGAACGGCAGCACGGGAGCAAUCCUGGUGGCGAGUGGCGAACGGGUGAGUAAAGUAUCGGAACGUGCCCAGUCGUGGGGGAUAACGUAGCGAAAGUUACGCUAAUACCGCAUACGAUCUACGGAUGAAAGCGGGGGAUCGCAAGACCUCGCGCGAUUGGAGCGGCUGGUGUCAGAUUAGGUAGUUGGUGGGGUAAAGGCUCACCAAGCCGACGAUCUGUAGCUGGUCUGAGAGGACGACCAGCCACACGGGGACUGAGACACGGCCCAGACUCCUACGGGAGGCAGCAGUGGGGAAUUUUGGACAAUGGGCGCAAGCCUGAUCCAGCCAUGCCGCGUGCAGGAUGAAGGCCUUCGGGUUGUAAACUGCUUUUGUACGGAACGAAAAGGUUUGGCCUAAUAAGCUGGACCCAUGACGGUACCGUAAGAAUAAGCACCGGCUAACUACGUGCCAGCCGCCGCCGUAA